GAUGAACGCUGGCGGCGUGCCUAAUACAUGCAAGUCGAGCGAACGGACGAGAAGCUUGCUUCUCUGAUGUUAGCGGCGGACGGGUGAGUAACACGUGGAUAAUCUACCUAUAAGACUGGGAUAACUUCGGGAAACCGGAGCUAAUACCGGAUAAUAUUUUGCACCGCAUGGUUCAUAAGUGAAAGACGGUCUUGCUGUCACUUAUAGAUGGAUCCGCGCUGCAUUAGCUAGUUGGUAAGGUAACGGCUUACCAAGGCAACGAUGCAUAGCCGACCUGAGAGGGGGAUCGGCCACACUGGAACUGAGACACGGUCCAUGCUCCUACGGUAGGCAGCAGUAGGGAAUCUUCCGCAAUGGGCGAGAGCAUGACGGAGCAGCGCCACGUGAGUGAUGAAGGUCUUCGGAUCGUAAAACUCUGUUAUGAGGGAAGAACAUAUGUGUAAGUAACUGUGCACAGCGUGACGGUACCUAAUCAGAAAGCCACGGCUAACUACGUG
Molecule: ribosomal RNA, 497 nt
Filed under: uncultured bacterium
Lineage: Bacteria
Description: partial 16S ribosomal RNA
Rfam family: Bacterial small subunit ribosomal RNA
Source: RNAcentral